RNAcentral lists this unclassified non-coding RNA (518 nucleotides) under uncultured Glomeromycotina. Its description in RNAcentral is "SSU rRNA". It matches the Rfam family "Eukaryotic small subunit ribosomal RNA", at positions 571 to 1092 of the family's 1831-position model. Lineage: Eukaryota; Fungi; Glomeromycota. The record is from RNAcentral.
CAGCCGCGUAAUUCCAGCUCCAAUAGCGUAUAUUAAAGUUGCUGCAGUUAAAAAGCUCGUAGUUGAAUUUCGGGACCAUCAUGUCGGUCGUGCCUCGGUACGUACUGGCAUUGUUGGUUUCUCCCUUCUGACGAACCAUGAUGUCAUUUAUUUGGUGUUGUGGGAAAUCAGGACUGUUACUUUGAAAAAAUUAGAGUGUUUAAAGCAGGCUCACGCUUGAAUACAUUAGCAUGGAAUAAUGAAAUAGGACGUUUGAUUCUAUUUUGUUGGUUUCUAGGAUCGACGUAAUGAUUAAUAGGGAUAGUUGGGGGCAUUAGUAUUCAAUUGUCAGAGGUGAAAUUCUUGGAUUUAUUGAAGACUAACUACUGCGAAAGCAUUUGCCAAGGAUGUUUUCAUUAAUCAAGAACGAAAGUUAGGGGAUCGAAGACGAUCAGAUACCGUCGUAGUCUUAACCAUAAACUAUGCCGACUAGGGAUCGGAUGAUGUUAAUUUUUUAAUGACUCAUUCGGCGCCUUACA